RNAcentral lists this long non-coding RNA (220 nucleotides) under Homo sapiens (human). RNAcentral's name for it is "non-protein coding lnc-PTPRCAP-2:1". The record is from RNAcentral. Lineage: Eukaryota; Metazoa; Chordata; Mammalia; Primates; Hominidae.
GUGAGGCCAGCUAAGGCCCGUCCUGGUUUGGGAUUAGGGGGUGAGGAGGUUCUGCUUGGCCUGACUGCCUGCAAUGUGCCAGGAAAACCUCGAGGAACCCAUGGCCCUGCAGGAACUGGACUCGAGCAACGGGGCCCUGCUGCCCUUCUACGACCCCGACACCAGUGUGGUCUACGUCUGCGGCAAGGGUGACUCCAGCAUCCGGUACUUUGAGAUCACA